This 492-nucleotide ribosomal RNA is filed under the name uncultured bacterium. RNAcentral's name for it is "partial 16S ribosomal RNA". It matches the Rfam family "Bacterial small subunit ribosomal RNA", at positions 29 to 507 of the family's 1533-position model. The record is from RNAcentral.
AGUGAACGCUGGCGGUAGGCCUAACACAUGCAAGUCGAACGGCAGCACAGUAAGAUCUUGCUCUUAUGGGUGGCGAGUGGCGGACGGGUGACGAAUAUAUCGGAAUCUACUUUUUCGUGGGGGAUAACGAAGGGAAACUUACUCUAAUACCGCAUAUGACCUACGGGUGAAAGCAGGGGAUCUUUGGAACUUGUGCGAUUGAACGAGCCGAUGUCGGAUUGGCUAGUUGGCGGGGUAAAGGCCCACCAAGGCGAGGAUCCGUAGCUGGUCUGAGAGGAUGAUAAGCCGCACUAGAUGUGAGACACGCUCCAGACGCCUAAGGGAGGGAGCAGUGGGGAAUAUUGGGCAAUGGGGGCAAACAUUAUCCAGUCAUACCGCGUAGGUGACGAAGGCCUUCGGGUUGUAAAGCCCUUUUGUUGGGAAAGAAAAGCAGCAGGUUAAUACCCCGCUGUUCUGACGGUACCCAAAGAAUAAGCACCGGCUAACUACGUG